RNAcentral lists this non-coding RNA (45 nucleotides) under Schistosoma mansoni. Lineage: Eukaryota; Metazoa; Platyhelminthes; Trematoda; Strigeidida; Schistosomatidae. The record is from RNAcentral.
AUCCAGAUGAUGAGUCUCAAAUAGGACGAUACGCACGUCCUGUAU